This 615-nucleotide small RNA is filed under the name Pan troglodytes (chimpanzee). Its description in RNAcentral is "retained intron". The record is from RNAcentral. Lineage: Eukaryota; Metazoa; Chordata; Mammalia; Primates; Hominidae.
UAAGGGCAUGGCAGUGCUCUUCCAGCUGUGAAGUGCCUUGGGGCGUGGGGUGGGCUCCCACCACCAGCGGGGAAUUUCAGGUUCCCAGGCAGCUUUCCCUGCAGCUUAAAACCCCUCCUCCACCUGUGCCAGGAUGCUGCCCCCUUGUGGGGAUCCCCAGUGUGAUGCCCCAACACUCUUCUAUCUCCCUGCCCAGGUCACCCUCAGCUACGGUGUCUUUGAGGGGAAACUCAACGUCAUUAAGCUACAGGGCCCCUUCUCCCCGGAGGAGGACCCCUCCAGAUUUCGCUCCCUCCAUUGUCUGCUCUAUCCAGAUACACCCUGGUGUCCCCAGCUGGGUGCCCGAUGAAUCCUGAACUGCUGGGCAAAGCCUUUCUUGCUGUUAGGGGCUACCAUGGGACCAGCUCUGGCCAGAGGGAACUAAGCAAAUCCAAUAGAGAUGUUUCUGGGGAAGGUUUUGCAGCCCAUUCCCCAUCUUCCUGCUAUAAAUGUGGGUGUGAUGGCUGGAUCUGGGGCAGCCACCUUGCUACCAUGAAGGAAAGGCCAAGACAAUCAUCCACAGCUAUUCCCUCCAGCAUCUGGUUCUGUACGAAAAUUAAAUGCUUAUUUGUUUAA